This 424-nucleotide ribosomal RNA is filed under the name uncultured prokaryote. Its description in RNAcentral is "bacterial SSU rRNA". It matches the Rfam family "Bacterial small subunit ribosomal RNA", at positions 355 to 796 of the family's 1533-position model. The record is from RNAcentral.
UGGGGAAUCUUGGACAAUGGGGGAAACCCUGAUCCAGCCAUGCCGCGUGAGUGAUGAAGGCCUUAGGGUCGUAAAGCUCUUUCGCCUGGGAAGAUAAUGACGGUACCAGGUAAAGAAACCCCGGCUAACUCCGUGCCAGCAGCCGCGGUAAUACGGAGGGGGUUAGCGUUGUUCGGAAUUACUGGGCGUAAAGCGCACGUAGGCGGACCAUUAAGUCAGGGGUGAAAUCCCGGGGCUCAACCCCGGAACUGCCUUUGAUACUGGUGGUCUAGAGGACGAGAGAGGUGAGUGGAAUUCCGAGUGUAGAGGUGAAAUUCGUAGAUAUUCGGAGGAACACCAGUGGCGAAGGCGGCUCACUGGCUCGACCCUGACGCUGAGGUGCGAAAGUGUGGGGAGCAAACAGGAUUAGAUACCCCCGUAGUCC